Small nuclear RNA from Mirounga angustirostris (Northern elephant seal), 137 nucleotides. RefSeq annotates it as U4 spliceosomal RNA. The transcript has a single exon. NCBI's taxonomy places the organism in Eukaryota, Metazoa, Chordata, Mammalia, Carnivora, Phocidae. The record is from RefSeq and is a predicted model, not a curated record.
AGCUUUGCGCAGUGGCAGUAUCGUAGCCAAUGAGGUUUAUCCGAGGCGCGAUUAUUGCUAAUUGAAAACUUAAAUAAUUUCCCUUCAAAAAUUGUAUUUUUAAAAUACCUGAUGUAAUCUGGUAAUGAAUAAUUUUA